This 166-nucleotide ribosomal RNA is filed under the name uncultured bacterium. RNAcentral describes it as "partial 16S ribosomal RNA". It matches the Rfam family "Bacterial small subunit ribosomal RNA", at positions 611 to 776 of the family's 1533-position model. The record is from RNAcentral.
AACCGGAGUAGUGCAUUGGAAGCUGGGAGACGUGAGUGCAGAAGAGGAGAGUGGAUCUACAUGUGUAGCGGUGAAAUGCGUAGAUAUAUGGAAGAACACCAGUGGCGAAAGCGGCUCUCUGGUCUGGAACUGACGCUGAGGUUCGAAAGCGUGGGUAGCAAACAGG